RNAcentral lists this ribosomal RNA (497 nucleotides) under uncultured bacterium. Its description in RNAcentral is "partial 16S ribosomal RNA". It matches the Rfam family "Bacterial small subunit ribosomal RNA", at positions 28 to 507 of the family's 1533-position model. The record is from RNAcentral.
GAUGAACGCUGGCGGCGUGCCUAAUACAUGCAAGUCGAGCGAACAGACGAGGAGCUUGCUCCUCUGACGUUAGCGGCGGACGGGUGAGUAACACGUGGAUAACCUACCUAUAAGACUGGGAUAACUUCGGGAAACCGGAGCUAAUACCGGAUAAUAUAUUGAACCGCAUGGUUCAAUAGUGAAAGACGGUUUUGCUGUCACUUAUAGAUGGAUCCGCGCCGCAUUAGCUAGUUGGUAAGGUAACGGCUUACCAAGGCAACGAUGCGUAGCCGACCUGAGAGGGUGGUCGCCCACACUGGAACGGAGACACGGUCCAGACUCCUACGGGAGGCAGCAGUAGGGAAUCUUCCGCAAUGGGCGAAAGCCUGACGGAGCAACGCCGCGUGAGUGAUGAAGGUCUUCGGAUCGUAAAACUCUGUUAUUAGGGAAGAACAAAUGUGUAAGUAACUAUGCACGUCUUGACGGUACCUAAUCAGAAAGCCACGGCUAACUACGUG